Canis lupus familiaris (dog) is the source of this 5004-nucleotide long non-coding RNA. RefSeq lists it as uncharacterized. NCBI's taxonomy places the organism in Eukaryota, Metazoa, Chordata, Mammalia, Carnivora, Canidae. The transcript has 2 exons. The record is from RefSeq and is a predicted model, not a curated record.
CAGGUCUCCAGGAUCACAACCUGAACCAAAGGCAAAUGCUUAACCACUGAGCCACCCAGGUGCCCCAUUAUCUGAUGCUUCUUAAUGGGAUUGCUGAUGUUACCAACAGGACCUCCCCAGGAGCCACUGGUUGAGAAAGUGUGUGUAUGACACAAGAAGAGAAUGAGGGAGAAAAUACAGCUGUCACUAUUGUUUCUAAAUGACAAGACCUGUUUUAGCACCAUGGGUAUAGAUAGUUAUUAGUGUUACAUAUCACCUUUAUGUUUAAUGUAUGUAAUAGUCCAAGAAGCUAAAAAAUAUAUAUAUACUUUGGAGAGGGUGGUAAAUCUAAGAUUUUACAGAUACCUGCUAAAUUGGGUUGAGUCUUAGCUCCUUCUUAGCUCAUAAGUGUCUUAGUUUUUUACCACCAUGUAACAAAUUACCAUAAACUCAGCAGCUUCAAAUGACACAUACUUUUUUAUCUCACAGCUUCCACUGGGUACCUGGGUCCUCUGCACAGGGUGUCACAAGACUGCAGUCAGUGUGUCAGCUGGAGCUCAGGUCUCCCUGGGCUCAGGGUCCUUCCUCCGCAGGCCCACAGGCAGAAUUCGUUUCCUCAAAGCCAUACAGCUCCUAACUGUCUGUUUCUUUGAGGCCAGAAGGGAGACAGGGAAUCUGCUGCUUUGUCUCUGACCUCUAGAUUUUCUUUUGAAGGCCUCAUCUGAUUAGGUCAGACCCACCCAAGAUAAUCUCUCUUUCGAUUAACUUAAAGACAACCGAUUAGAGAUCUUAAUUACAUCUGCAAAAUCCCUUCACCUUUGCCACUAAGGUAAUGAAGCAUCAGAAUGAUAUCCUAUCACCUUUGCUGUGCUCUAUCGGCUAGAAGCAAAUUAAAGCCCUGCUCACACUCAAGGGGGAGAAGAUGAUACAAAGGUGACAGACAUUGGGGUCAUCUUAGAAUCUCUGGGUAGGAAGGUCAUCUGCAUACUUUUUGAUCUAUUUCUAUUUAGCAAAGCUAUAGGCACACGAUGGAAAAGCAAUGGAUGGAUACUGAGAAUUUAAUGUUUGGAAAUAAAUUAAGGUUUUUGAAGACACAAAGUUUCUUCCAGCGCACACCCUGAAAAGGGUCAUGCUUUCCCCCAGUAGGUCUUCAGGGGUUGGGGUGAAGGAAGUGUGGGUAGGUGACAAUUCAGAAAGUACAUGAGCUAAAAAAAACACAAGCUGGGAAAUCUAGGGCCCGGCCCAAUUGCUCCUCUGAAAGCUCUGUGAGCUUCCCCCAUUUGGGGAGCAGGGGAAACCGUACCUGCUUUCCCUUGGCAGGGCUGCUGACCAGGCAAAAGGAGACCAAUAAACUGCAGGGACAAAGGUCUCAUUGUCCUGUCCGGACUGCCGAGGAGCUGGCUGGCAGUUAACAAUAUGCUGCUAUCUCAAAAGGUGGGCGUGUGAUCACAUCGCCAGGAGGUGGUUUUGUUUUUUUCAAUGAUAACCAGUGAGGCAUUCUUGAGAGGCAGCCAAGUCUCUCCCAUAAACUGGGGAAUGCAUUUUCUGAGCCCACGUUGGGGAGAAAGAGCCCCUUCCACACUUCCUCCAGAGUCCCACCCCAAAGCUGAGUUCUAGGGCCCCAAACGCCCGGUGCAGGGGUGCAGCCUCUCCAGCCGGCCUCCGCAGUCCCCCACGAGGCACACAAAGGAAGCGAGAUCGUGGGGGUCCGGGGCCUUUCUCGGUCAGGUGAGGACCGCUCCUCAGUUAGCCCGAGCGUUGCAGCCGCGCGGGGCAGGCACAGGUGCCGAGGCUCGGACCCACCCGCACGGGGCCUGCGGACCCAGCCUCCCCUCCCCGCGAGGCCGCCGGCGGCGGAUCAUGUGCCAACGUCAGAUCAAUGUAGGAAAUAAACGUGUAAUAAGUAAUAAUGGUGUCGUAAGAGUGGUUGUCACUGCAGUGGUUCUCUCUGCUGAAAAUAUGGGCUCCAGAGUGUGGAUUUCUUAGGCUAAUUUUGCCCUUAUUUAAAAGAAACUUUUAAAACACAUAAAAGAUGUGCUUUAUAAUAGGGAAGACUAUUUAAAAAGGGCAGAAUGAAAAAAAACAAAAAAAUUUAAAAAAUAAAAACUAAAAAGGGCAAAAUGGAAGAACACAGCUUCAUUUUAUCCUUGUUUAACCAUUGUCUUGUUCUUUUGGCUUUGAAAGGUCAAGUAAGUUUUUGUUUUCUGGAAGAACCGGUAUGUAUGUAUGUAUGUAUGUAUGUAUGUAUUUUUAAAGAUUUUAUUUAUUUAUUAACAAGAGACACAGAGAGAGAGGCAGAGACAUGGGGUGCCUGAUCCUGAUGCAGGACUCUAUCCCAGGACCCCAGGAUCACGACCUGAGCCAAGGUCAUAUGCUCAACCCCUGAGCCACUCAGGCCCCCUGGAAAAAACAGUAUUUAGAUGCGACCCUCCACAUCUCCCACCCUGUCCUGGUUUCCUCACAUCACCACGCCUGGGUCCUAAAUUCUCCAAGAAGCUACGUGACUUCAAGCUCAAACCAGGGCUGCAGUUGUUUACGUGGAAGAAAAACAAGCAUCUUUAGUGAUCUGGAAGCCAGCUCAAUUUAUGAUUUGCACACUUCGGAGCUUUCGGUGGAAACACCCCAACACCGCUAUCUCAAUGCGUUUUUCCUGACUCAUCAGAAGGAACAGGCCCGUGAAUGAAGGAAGCUGGAUUGUGACUUCUCUUGUAUUCCUGCACCCACUUAAACAUGCAUUCUAGAACAUGAGGCAAUUUGAGUAAACCAUCUUGCUUUUGAGUCACACACCAAAGAUAUUUUCGUAUCUGAGAUGCUUAAAGCAUGCCUUACAUGGGACGCAAAGACACAGCCAAAUGAGGGCAAAGUGAGGAAUGGGAAACGAAAUGUCUUGUAAUAACUGCCUGGUCUGGACUAUGGACUUGGUUGGAAUUUCCAAACGAGGGGAUCUUGUUGUUUUUGAAAGCCAUGUUGACAAACUGAUACUGUAUUUUUAGCAUGCUGCAAAUGGAAAGCAUGCAAGAUAUGUGAACAAUAUAUUUCCAAAUAUGACACAUAUUUAUAAAACACAGUAAACGCAUGACAGAUUGAGUAGGAUAUGUGGAAAAAUAACAGCUGUGCUACACCCUAUUUCUUAGCAAAUUCAUACACAACAAAUGACAUUCACAUCCCAUGUUUUUGCAAAAUCUAGUUUUUACGCAUUUUGGAAAAGGAUGUAGGGAAUGAAAGCAAAAGUUUGCAAAAGAAAAAAAAACCGGAAGAUGGCUGUAAAUUUAAGCGACGUGUCAUGUAAUUAUCAUGUAGAAAACUAGUUCCAGGUAGGUUACCCCAUUUCUCCCAGCACGCUGCCUUUUGAUGGAAAUGAUAUUAAAUGAAGCAUUAGAAGUGAUUUCCAUUUUAAGAUGGGCUAGAAAGGUACAUAUAAGGGAAAACAUACAGAACAUUUCAGUAUCUAAAAAAACCAACAUGUCUGCCAAUGAUGUGAAGAUUCACUUAGAUGGAGUAGAAUUGAUGCCAUUCAUAGUUUGUGGCAUCAAAGACAAGACUGGGCUCUGAACUGAGAAAAAUCUGACCAGAGACUCUUGGAUUUGAAUAAAAGGCCACAGAGAUCCAUGCUAUGUUCUAAAGCAGGGACUUAUCAUGAGAAGCAGUGUUUUUGAGGAGAGCAUGUUGGCACCUCUGAGUACAGUGCCGGCAGAGCAGUCUCUAACGACCGUGGUAGGAAUUCCUUAUAUUUGUAAUAUAGACAUUUACAAUUCACAAGUGAGUUUUCUCAUUUUCAAACCCAUAAUUUUAUUCAAGCUAUGGAACAGCCCUGUGAGGCCUGCAAGAAAGGUUUCAUCAUUCACGCUGUCCUUACAAUGAAACCAAGAGUUUGUGACUUCAGGGUCACCCUUAGAAAGAAGAGGCGCCAAUCCAAACAACAGGGAUAUUUGUUCAUUUAGCAUGCUACCUGGGAGAGAGGGAGCUAUAGGCCUUUUUUUCCUUCCUCUUCUUUUUACUUCUGCUUUUUUCCAAGUUUUCUGUGAUUAGAAAAUCUUAUUUUAUAGUUAAAAUAUUUUCUAAUGUAUAAAUUAAUAACAAUAUAAUUAUAAAAUAAAUUAUUUUAUGACUAUAAAAUGACAGUAGAUAUUAUUGUUGUCAACAAGGGACAAAAUCUCUGUUCUCCUUCCUUGUAGACCACUCCCUUACCUCCAUCCUCUACUUGAAGCUGGAGCGGACUUCCCUGUGCCUUUCAUUGUUGGCCUCUGCCCCCAGGCCGGAGGAAAUGCAAACUCAGAGAAUGCCAGGCUCUAUUCUGUAGGCUGAACUGGUAUAUGGAGUGUUUCAAGAUUCCGAAGCAAACAGUGCCUUAUCAAAGAAAGGUGAUGCUAAGAUUACAUUCUUAUGGGAGACUUUGCUAAAACGUUAAAAUACUGCAGUUGAAUUUUCUGGUUGGCCUUGGCCCUAUUGGAAGGAGACUUUGGGUAGCAGAGUAUGGGGAGGGAAGGGCCGGUGGGCAUGGGAGACUGUGGAGAGGGAGAUGUAUCAGUUGAAUUGAGAUGGAAGUCAUCGGAGGGUAUUCUGAGCUCUUCUGGUCCUUCCCUUGUGGGCAUGGCUCUAAUGGGACCUUCUUCACUAAUGGACUCGCCACAGAAACUCAUACAAGGAGGCCAUCUGAUCUAGCAUCAUAGAUAAGAACAGACCAGACUGCUUCCUUGAUGUUGGGCAAAGCAACUUAGCCUCUCAAUUUCCCCCUUUCUCUACCUGUAAAUAAAUGAUCUCACUGGAAGGUGAAGAAUAAUUGAGAUCAAAUUCCUGGAGGACUUGAUCUUAUGGUUCAGUUUUAACCCUUGGGGGAGGAGGGCCUUUGGAACCUUCCGAGCAUCCAAUGAGAGCUAGGAGCCUUCCUCCCAGAACAAUACAUACAUAACCAUCAACUUACACAUAAAUUCAUGUGGUUCAUAGACUCCCUCAAGCUUAAACUUCCUUUAAGUUAGAAAAAAAAAAAAACAACUCCUACUAUAGAAGAGAAGUGUUAUAAACAUG